AUAAUAUUAUAACAGUCUAUGAUUUGUAUAAAUCUGUCAGAAAUUUUGUAUUAAAAAUAAUGAAAAAAAAUGUUUCUUAAGUAAUCCUAAGUCAUUAUACUGUUGGAAUGCGGCUAUACGCGGGUAACACCCAGGUAACUCAAGCCAGGUGUACACGUUCCAAUACCAAAAUGCCGUUAACCGGCAAACAGCCCGCGUUGGCUGCCGUGGUCCACAUGACCCAAGAAGGGAAGAUGCUUUUGAAGAAGUUGUCUCACUACUUGUGGACAGCGUACUGCGCGAUGAGCGGCAACUAUGUCGCCAUCGUCACAGUACUGGUCGUGGUGAUUCUCAGCUUUCUUCUCCCAGACAUAAGCCAGAAAAUACAUGCAACCAACGAGCUGAAAACCAUGAAAAAAGUUUUGGAUAAGAUGUCGCAUGAAGUAAAACAAGCAGAGGUCGCGUGCCUUACAGUAGCCGACGAAAUUUGCUCCUUACACAGCUCCAUGCACGAUGACGGCACGGAAACUGUUAGUAUUAGGUCGAUUGAAGUCCAGAGAAAAAACUCAAGAUCUGUCAGUCUGCACCAGCCAUUGCAUGCGAACUACACAGUCGGAACCAGUCCAAGUUGAAAAAAAAGUCGGUUUCUUUCGGCGUAUUUUCUUUCCCAAUCGUAACACGUCCCAUAAGGAAGUCACGCUUAUGUCGUACGUCUACACCGAUUCAUUCGACGCUCAAAAAGAAAUGAAUUCCUCCAGCACGUGAUUUUCUUGUGAUGGAUCAAGUAAUUAUUGAAAUUUAUAACAUGUCAACAUGCGAUGUAAUAAAAUACUUGAAACUGA
Trichoplusia ni (cabbage looper) is the source of this 821-nucleotide RNA transcript. RefSeq lists it as uncharacterized. Lineage: Eukaryota; Metazoa; Arthropoda; Insecta; Lepidoptera; Noctuidae. The transcript has 5 exons. The record is from RefSeq and is a predicted model, not a curated record.